GGGCCCGCACAAGCGGUGGAGCAUGUGGUUUAAUUCGAUGCAACGCGAAGAACCUUACCAGGGUUUGAAAUCAUUUCAAAACUCCUUGAAAGAGGAGCCUCCUUCGGGAUGAAAUGACAGGUGGUGCAUGGCUGUCGUCAGCUCGUGUUGUGAAAUGUCGAGUUAAGUCUCGUAACGAGCGCAACCCAUGUCUCUUGUUGCUCACUGAGUGCUUAAGAGAGACUGCCGACCAACAUCGGAGGAAGGUGUGGAUGAUGUCAAGUCAGCAUGCCCCUUACAUCCUGGGCUACACACGUACUACAAUGGUAAGGACAAUGAGCUGCGAUCCUGCGAAGGCUAGCCAAUCUCAAAAAACCCUAUCUCAGUUCGGAUUGUACUCUGCAACUCGAGUACAUGAAGGUGGAAUC
RNAcentral lists this ribosomal RNA (407 nucleotides) under uncultured bacterium. Its description in RNAcentral is "bacterial SSU rRNA". It matches the Rfam family "Bacterial small subunit ribosomal RNA", at positions 917 to 1333 of the family's 1533-position model. The record is from RNAcentral.